GGGUUGUAAACCUCUUUUAUAUUAGAAUAAAGUGCAGUAUGUAUACUGUUUUGUAUGUAUAAUAUGAAUAAGGAUCGGCUAACUCCGUGCCAGCAGCCGCGGUAAUACGGAGGAUCCGAGCGUUAUCCGGAUUUAUUGGGUUUAAAGGGAGCGUAGGUGGGCUGGUAAGUCAGUUGUGAAAGUUUGCGGCUCAACCGUAAAAUUGCAGUUGAUACUGUCAGUCUUGAGUACAGUAGAGGUGGGCGGAAUUCGUGGUGUAGCGGUGAAAUGCUUAGAUAUCACGAAGAACUCCGAUUGCGAAGGCAGCUUGCUGGACUGUAACUGACGCUGAUGCUCGAAAGUGUGGGUAUCAAACAGGAUUAGAUACCCUGGUAGUCCACACAGUAAA
Molecule: ribosomal RNA, 388 nt
Filed under: uncultured bacterium
Lineage: Bacteria
Description: bacterial SSU rRNA
Rfam family: Bacterial small subunit ribosomal RNA
Source: RNAcentral